This 387-nucleotide ribosomal RNA is filed under the name uncultured bacterium. RNAcentral's name for it is "bacterial SSU rRNA". It matches the Rfam family "Bacterial small subunit ribosomal RNA", at positions 28 to 417 of the family's 1533-position model. The record is from RNAcentral.
GACGAACGCUGGCGGCGUGCUUAACACAUGCAAGUCGAGCGGUAAGGCCCUUUCGGGGGUACACGAGCGGCGAACGGGUGAGUAACACGUGGGUGACCUGCCCUCAGCUCUGGGAUAAGCCUGGGAAACCGGGUCUAAUACUGGAUAUGACUCCAUGACGCAUGUUGUGGGGUGGAAAGCCUUGUGCGGCUGAGGAUGGGCCCGCGGCCUAUCAGCUUGUUGGUGGGGGAUGGCCUACCAAGGCGACGACGGGUAGCCGGCCUGAGAGGGCGACCGGCCACACUGGGACUGAGACACGGCCCAGACUCCUACGGGAGGCAGCAGUGGGGAAUAUUGCACAAUGGGCGCAAGCCUGAUGCAGCGACGCCGCGUGAGGGAUGACGGCCU